AAGAAAGAGAGAGAAUUCCUCAUCUUCUCCAAAUUUCCUAAACUUUUGAGAAAGAAAGAAUAGAGAGAAGUAACGAGAUAGAGAGGCGGACAAGCUUGAGAGUGAGGGAGAAAUUGAGGGAUUAAGUGUGGUGAUUAUUCAAGGUUAUGGAAGCAAGCAUGGAUCCAUUAGAGAAGCAAAAAAACGUUUUUGACCAAGCCCUCAAAUUUUCAAGCAAAUUGUUUCAUAAAAGCCUAAGGUAUGAGGCAGCAUAUACAUGUUGUGUGUGGAUAAACACUAAAGGUACCAAAGUUUGAUUUGCUGAUCCGCCGGUUUAGGACAUCUGUUGUGUUAUUGACAGUGCUCCCUUGUUCGGAGCUUGUAUUUUGGUACUGACUUUAUCUCUGUAUAUUUGAAUAUGUUGGUCAGGGGUACGACGGGGUCCUGUCCCGUCAUAUGGCUAUGCUAUCAUUUGUAGAGGUCUGUAGACAGAGUUAUGUUGUGGUUUUUGUAUA
Molecule: long non-coding RNA, 494 nt
Organism: Solanum dulcamara
Lineage: Eukaryota; Viridiplantae; Streptophyta; Magnoliopsida; Solanales; Solanaceae
Exons: 3
Source: RefSeq, a predicted model, not a curated record